GGAUGUGAGGGCAAUCUGGCUGUGACAUCUGUCACCCUAUUGAUUGCCAGGGUUGAUUUGGCUGAUCUGGCUGACUAGGCAAGUGUCCCCUUCCUCCCUCAAUGCUCCACAUGCAUCCCUCCUGAAGCUGCACACUCAGUCGAAGAGGACCACCUUCCCCAAUAGAAGAGGACCGGUCUUCGGUCAAGGGUAUAGGAGUAGCUGUGCUCCCCUGCUAGAACCUCCAAACAAGCUCUCAAGAAUGAUGGCUUUAAUAAUUCUACAUGCAGGAAAAUGUUCAUAUUAGUAUUAUUAAAGAACAUGGAUAUUUAGAAACAGAACAUAU
This 325-nucleotide small nuclear RNA is filed under the name Nannospalax galili (Upper Galilee mountains blind mole rat). Its description in RNAcentral is "7SK RNA (ENSNGAG00000003873.1)". It matches the Rfam family "7SK RNA". From Rfam's summary of the family: 7SK was discovered as an abundant small nuclear RNA in the mid-70s but a possible function has only recently been suggested. Two independent studies have found that 7SK RNA binds the CDK9/cyclin T complex (known as elongation factor P-TEFb). P-TEFb activates transcription by phosphorylating the C-terminal domain of RNA polymerase II. Lineage: Eukaryota; Metazoa; Chordata; Mammalia; Rodentia; Spalacidae. The record is from RNAcentral.